GAUCUAAAGCUCGCCGACAAAAAGCCGAAGCGAAAAUUAACGUUUAACGCUAAUUUGGUAUUCCCUCCGCUUCGAUAGCCCGCGGCGGCCAACCGAUUCGAUGCACGUGAAGCCGAUUCCAGCCGGUUCCGAGCCCCCCGUAAAAAACAAGCAGAUACGAAAGAAAUACCUCUCCACUUAACGACGGAUUACGGGGGUGAGCGACGGAGUCGCAAGGGUAAAUUUGCCAACUACCCAAGUAAUUAAGGGCAACCCAAUUGGGGAUUCUGGGUCACUUCCCCGUCCUAAAGUGGAGAGAAAAAGAAACGAGGGAGAAACGCACGAAGUCGCUUACCGCGAAGUCGUCCUGAACAAACUUUUCGCAGUCUUCCAGCCACGCCGUUAUAUCGCAAUGAGAAGAUCAAGCUAAGUCUGCGACGUGAUUUCGUAUCAAUGCGAUACUAUCGAGCAGUUUGGUCACAAAAAAGCGCGCCACAGACGGCCCUGAUGGUCUCGAUUCGAUUGUUCUGAUUGCCGGCAUGAUGGACGAAGAUUUACGGCAAUUAGAAUCGGACAAAGGGGAAGCGACUCGUCUGAAAUGUUCCGUAUGUUUCUGCAGAGUCGAUCAGGUAUCAGACUGUCGAUUCUGAGACGAUAAAAUCAGAAGUGCCAGAUGGUGUGGAAAACUCCUCGUUACAGACUGCGACGGUCGACGGAACGCAAGAGGAUAGGUUGGCGGAGGCAGCUGAAAGAUCCGAGCUUGAUGAGGAGAAAAACGAAAGAUACCAAACAGCCGUAUUUACAUUGGCUACGUUCGCCGCAGUUUUCGUGCUCUACGUUUACGUGGUAUACAGCUUGAGCAGCCCACCCACUUUGUUUCGAUGUUAAUUCCCGUUUAAUCAACUAAUUCGAAAAUAAAGUAUUACGCGGCUUACGAGUUAUCGGAUUAAACGCAAAAAAAAAAUUAUUCUUUCUAAAAUUUUAUGGGGAAAAUUAUAUAAUAUUUUGCAAAAUCAA
Wasmannia auropunctata (little fire ant) is the source of this 996-nucleotide RNA transcript. RefSeq lists it as uncharacterized. Lineage: Eukaryota; Metazoa; Arthropoda; Insecta; Hymenoptera; Formicidae. The record is from RefSeq and is a predicted model, not a curated record. The transcript has 4 exons.